UCCCUCUUAGCUCAGUUGGUAGAGCGCGUCACUAGUAUUCAUAGAAGAAGACAUGUGAUGACGAGGUCAGUCGUUCAAGUCGGCUAGAGGGAA
Armillaria luteobubalina is the source of this 93-nucleotide non-coding RNA. The record is from the annotation of a GenBank genome assembly. Lineage: Eukaryota; Fungi; Basidiomycota; Agaricomycetes; Agaricales; Physalacriaceae.